Molecule: ribosomal RNA, 216 nt
Filed under: Micrococcales bacterium KH10
Lineage: Bacteria; Bacillati; Actinomycetota; Actinomycetes; Micrococcales
Description: partial 16S rRNA. Bacterial SSU
Rfam family: Bacterial small subunit ribosomal RNA
Source: RNAcentral
UUUUUACGGAGAGUUUGAUCCUGGCUCAGGACGAACGCUGGCGGCGUGCUUAACACAUGCAAGUCGAACGAUGAAGCGGUGCUUGCACCGUGGAUUAGUGGCGAACGGGUGAGUAACACGUGAGUAACCUGCCCCUGACUUUGGGAUAACUACCGGAAACGGUGGCUAAUACUGGAUAUGACCUUGUGCCGCAUGGUGUGGGGUGGAAAGAUUUUU